GCCAGUCGUGUGUCAGUAUGGCCGAGUGGUUAAGGCGCUAGACUUGAAUUCUUCAUUUGACAUCUAGUUCAUUCGUGAUCCUAGGUUCGAACCCUAGUGCUGACGU
RNAcentral lists this transfer RNA (106 nucleotides) under Penicillium salamii. RNAcentral describes it as "tRNA-Ser". The stretch from base 12 to 105 matches the Rfam family "tRNA". Rfam says of the family: Transfer RNA (tRNA) molecules are approximately 80 nucleotides in length. Lineage: Eukaryota; Fungi; Ascomycota; Eurotiomycetes; Eurotiales; Aspergillaceae. The record is from RNAcentral.